This 548-nucleotide ribosomal RNA is filed under the name uncultured Glomeromycotina. RNAcentral describes it as "SSU rRNA". It matches the Rfam family "Eukaryotic small subunit ribosomal RNA", at positions 548 to 1098 of the family's 1831-position model. Lineage: Eukaryota; Fungi; Glomeromycota. The record is from RNAcentral.
UUGGAGGGCAGUCUGGUGCCAGCAGCCGCGGUAAUUCCAGCUCCAAUAGCGUAUAUUAAGUUGUUGCAGUUAAAAAGCUCGUAGUUGAAUUUCGGGAUUCAUCCGUUGGUCGGGCUUCACGGUCCGCACUGGUGUGAUGGGUUCCUACCUUCUGAAUAACCGGCAUGCCAUUAAUUUGGUGCGCCGGGGAAGCAGAACUAUUACCUUGAAAAAAUUAGAGUGCUUAAAGCAGGCAAGUGCCUGAAUAGGUUAGCAUGGAAUAAUAAAAUAGGACGGCAUGGUUCUAUUUUGUUGGUUUCUAGGAUCACCGUAAUGAUUAAUAGGGAUAGUUGGGGGCAUUAGUAUUCAAUUGUCAGAGGUGAAAUUCUUGGAUUUAUUGAAGACUAACUUCUGCGAAAGCAUUUGCCAAGGAUGUUUUCAUUAAUCAAGAACGAAAGUUAGGGGAUCGAAGACGAUCAGAUACCGUCGUAGUCUUAACCAUAAACUAUGCCGACUAGGGAUCGGACGAUGUUAAUUUUUAAUGACUCGUUCGGCGCCUUACGGGAAAC